RNAcentral lists this ribosomal RNA (1093 nucleotides) under Lactiplantibacillus plantarum. Its description in RNAcentral is "bacterial SSU rRNA". It matches the Rfam family "Bacterial small subunit ribosomal RNA", at positions 62 to 1143 of the family's 1533-position model. The record is from RNAcentral. Lineage: Bacteria; Bacillati; Bacillota; Bacilli; Lactobacillales; Lactobacillaceae.
UGGUGCUUGCAUCAUGAUUUACAUUUGAGUGAGUGGCGAACUGGUGAGUAACACGUGGGAAACCUGCCCAGAAGCGGGGGAUAACACCUGGAAACAGAUGCUAAUACCGCAUAACAACUUGGACCGCAUGGUCCGAGCUUGAAAGAUGGCUUCGGCUAUCACUUUUGGAUGGUCCCGCGGCGUAUUAGCUAGAUGGUGGGGUAACGGCUCACCAUGGCAAUGAUACGUAGCCGACCUGAGAGGGUAAUCGGCCACAUUGGGACUGAGACACGGCCCAAACUCCUACGGGAGGCAGCAGUAGGGAAUCUUCCACAAUGGACGAAAGUCUGAUGGAGCAACGCCGCGUGAGUGAAGAAGGGUUUCGGCUCGUAAAACUCUGUUGUUAAAGAAGAACAUAUCUGAGAGUAACUGUUCAGGUAUUGACGGUAUUUAACCAGAAAGCCACGGCUAACUACGUGCCAGCAGCCGCGGUAAUACGUAGGUGGCAAGCGUUGUCCGGAUUUAUUGGGCGUAAAGCGAGCGCAGGCGGUUUUUUAAGUCUGAUGUGAAAGCCUUCGGCUCAACCGAAGAAGUGCAUCGGAAACUGGGAAACUUGAGUGCAGAAGAGGACAGUGGAACUCCAUGUGUAGCGGUGAAAUGCGUAGAUAUAUGGAAGAACACCAGUGGCGAAGGCGGCUGUCUGGUCUGUAACUGACGCUGAGGCUCGAAAGUAUGGGUAGCAAACAGGAUUAGAUACCCUGGUAGUCCAUACCGUAAACGAUGAAUGCUAAGUGUUGGAGGGUUUCCGCCCUUCAGUGCUGCAGCUAACGCAUUAAGCAUUCCGCCUGGGGAGUACGGCCGCAAGGCUGAAACUCAAAGGAAUUGACGGGGGCCCGCACAAGCGGUGGAGCAUGUGGUUUAAUUCGAAGCUACGCGAAGAACCUUACCAGGUCUUGACAUACUAUGCAAAUCUAAGAGAUUAGACGUUCCCUUCGGGGACAUGGAUACAGGUGGUGCAUGGUUGUCGUCAGCUCGUGUCGUGAGAUGUUGGGUUAAGUCCCGCAACGAGCGCAACCCUUAUUAUCAGUUGCCAGCAUUAAGUUGGGCACUCUGG